Pelobates cultripes (western spadefoot toad) is the source of this 203-nucleotide non-coding RNA. The record is from the annotation of a GenBank genome assembly. Lineage: Eukaryota; Metazoa; Chordata; Amphibia; Anura; Pelobatidae.
CUACAACCCUGGCACACCAAGCUGACCCGUUACCUCCAAAAAUGUUCCAGAACUGCUGAACGCUGCUGGAGAAAGUCUCACUUUGCAUCUGACUUUGUCCACUAUAAAUUUAUGCUGCGCUCCUACAGCAUGGCUCUUUCCUCUGCAAAAGUAAGCUACUUCAACACCCUCAUAAGCACACUGUCCCACCAUCCCAAACACCU